This 443-nucleotide ribosomal RNA is filed under the name uncultured bacterium. RNAcentral's name for it is "partial 16S ribosomal RNA". It matches the Rfam family "Bacterial small subunit ribosomal RNA", at positions 338 to 795 of the family's 1533-position model. The record is from RNAcentral.
CCUACGGGAGGCAGCAGUGGGGAAUAUUGGGCAAUGGGCGCAAGCCUGACCCAGCAACGCCGCGUGAAGGAAGAAGGCUUUCGGGUUGUAAACUUCUUUUCUGAGGGACGAGGAAAGUGACGGUACCUAAGGAAUAAGCCACGGCUAACUACGUGCCAGCAGCCGCGGUAAUACGUAGGUGGCAAGCGUUAUGCGGAUUUAUUGGGUGUAAAGGGCGUGUAGGCGGGAAAGCAAGUGAGAUGUGAAAACUCAGGGCUCAACCCUGAGCAUGCAUAUGAAACUGUUUUUCUAGAGUGCUGGAGAGGCAAUCGGAAUUCCGGGUGUAGCGGUGAAAUGCGUAGAGAUACGGAGGAACACCAGUGGCGAAGGCGGAUUGCUGGACAGUAACUGACGCUGAGGCACGAAAGCGUGGGGAGCAAACAGGAUUAGAUACCCCAGUAGUC